GACGAACGCUGGCGGCGUGCUUAGCACAUGCAAGUCGAACGGUAAGGCCCUUCGGGGUACACGAGUGGCGAACGGGUGAGUAACACGUGGGUGAUCUGCCCUGCACUUCGGGAUAAGCCUGGGAAACUGGGUCUAAUACCGGAUAGGACCACUGCCUGCAUGGGUGGUGGUGGAAAGCUUUUGCGGUGUGGGAUGGGCCCGCGGCCUAUCAGCUUGUUGGUGGGGUGAUGGCCUACCAAGGCGACGACGGGUAGCCGGCCGGGGAGGGUGACCGGCCACAGUGGGACUGAGAUACGGCCCAGACUCCUACGGGAGGCAGCAGUGGGGAAUAUUGCACAAUGGGCGCAAGCCUGAUGCAGUGACGCCGCGUGAGGGAUGACGGCCUUCGGGUUGUAAACCUCUUUCAGCACCGACGAAGCGCAAGUGACGGUAGGUGCAGAAGAAGGACCGGCCAACUACGUGCCAGCAGCCGCCGUAA
Molecule: ribosomal RNA, 478 nt
Filed under: uncultured bacterium
Lineage: Bacteria
Description: partial 16S ribosomal RNA
Rfam family: Bacterial small subunit ribosomal RNA
Source: RNAcentral